RNAcentral lists this ribosomal RNA (406 nucleotides) under uncultured bacterium. Its description in RNAcentral is "partial 16S ribosomal RNA". It matches the Rfam family "Bacterial small subunit ribosomal RNA", at positions 30 to 526 of the family's 1533-position model. The record is from RNAcentral.
AUUGAACGCUGGCGGCAGGCCUAACACAUGCAAGUCGAACGAGUGGCGGACGGGUGUGUAAUGUCUGGGCAACUGCCUGAUGGAGGGGGAUAACUACUUGAAACGGUAGCUAAUACCGCAUACCAUCAGAUCUGCCCAGAGGGGAUUAGCUAGUUGGUGGGGUAACGGCUCACAAAGGCGACGAUCCCUAGCUGGUCUGAGAGGAUGACCAGCCACACGGGAACUGAGACACGGCCCAGACUCCUACGGGAGGCAGCAGUGGGGAAUAUUGCACAAUGGGCGCAAGCCUGAUGCAGCCAGGCCGCGGGUAUGAAGAAGGCCUUCGGGUUGUAAAGUACUUUCGGCGGGGAGGCGUUACCCGCAGAAGAAGCACCGGCUAACUCCGUGCCAGCCGCCGCGGUAAUAC